UCUGUUAUUGUUGUUGUCACAUACAAUUUUCUUAACUCAAAUAUUUUGCAGAAACACAAUAGAUCUUUGCUUGAAAUUCGAAACACAAUAGAUCUUUAGUUGAAAUUCUUAGGUUUUCUCAAAUAGGGUUCUCAAAGUUUGUGCUCCAUAAGGUAUGUGGUCAAAACCCUUUUGGGUAUAUAUGUAUUUUUUCAGAUUGCAUAUAAAAAUUCUUUAACCCACUUGAAAAUUUGCAGGAAUAGAAUUCUCUAAUGUUAAAGGAGGAAGGAGUAGAGUUCAUAAUUUUUGAGGUUAUAGAGCCAACGGAAAUGAGAGGAGCUGGAUAAGAUAAAAGUGGAAGAGCAGGUGCGGGACAUGGAUGUGGACGUGGUAGCUUUCUAGAAUGUAUGAAUUCUUAAACAACAUUUCAUCCACAAAUACAAUCAAUAGGAGUUAUUGUGCCUUCUUUGGUGACUGGACAAUCAUCUAAUCCAAGCCAAGGACCUCUACAAACAAAAAAAUGUCAAGUGGACCUGUCUAAAGGACAUCCCUAGAGACACAAUCAUCAAGAAAUCUAGACAAAAUUAUACGACUUAGCCUAGAGGAUGAAACUAGUGUAGUUUCCCACAUGAAUAAAAAGAAAGGAAGAAGGAAAUACAAAUCUAAAACUAUGGAUAUUAAGAUUAAACAAGGAGGAAAAAUCAAAAUUAUGAUUCUAGAUGACAUUGAUAGAGAUGUGGGUUCUGGAGCUAAAGACAUUAUCAAUUACUCUAGUUGGAUAAUGAGAACCACUAUCUCAUUUCGAGAUGGAAAUUGGCAGAAGAUAGUUUUAAAGCAUGGAAAAGCAAUGUGGCUUAAGGUCAGGGUAAUCACUCUUAAUAUUGUGUUGCCUUUAUGUUUUAUGAUUUAUAUAUAUGCAAUUAGAAUAUCAAAUAUACUGUUACAUUGUGUGUAGGAUAAAUUUGAAGUUCAAAAUGGGCUACCAGAGUAUAAGUUCCAAGGCUUUGUGAUAAGCACUAUGCAAAUACUUUUUAGAGCAUGGAAAGCUUGAUUACAUGUUGUCUACUCUAGCUAUAAUAAUGAUAAAUAUAGAUUGUCUCAUCGACCUGAGGAUGUUGAGUUGGAUCACUGGAAGCCCCUAGUGGAACAUUAUGGCAGUUAUAAAUUAAAGGGAUAAAUUCAGCAACUUGUCGUUGAACAACAAUCAGAAGAGUUCGAGAAUCUCAUGACUAGCAAUGAGAUUUUAUCUUCGGUUCUUGGUGAGAGAUCAAGAUAUGUUUGGGGAAAAAGAUAUAGGAAGAAGCCUCUUAAAAAGAGUCAAAUGCAGCUGGAAAACAUUGAGGCCACCGUGUCUUCAGCGGUAGAAAGUAUGCAUCAAGAGAUGUAACUUGACAUAGAAAGAAAGUUGCAAGAAGAGUGUAAACAAAUGGAUGCCGACUUGAAAAGAGAUAUGGAUCAGGAUUUGCAAAAGAAAUUGGAAGAGGAAUGUGAACACAUGAAAAAAGAAGUAGAAAAAAUAUUUCAAGAAAAAAUGGCUGCACUCAUGGCUGGAAUGCAACAAGUAUUUUCUUAACUAGAAUUCAGUUUUUAGAUUGUAACAACUUCAACUGUUUGUCUCCUCUCCUUUCAAUCAUGGCUACUUAGAUGAUUUUCCCCUGA
Molecule: long non-coding RNA, 1638 nt
Organism: Capsicum annuum
Lineage: Eukaryota; Viridiplantae; Streptophyta; Magnoliopsida; Solanales; Solanaceae
Exons: 4
Source: RefSeq, a predicted model, not a curated record